This 497-nucleotide ribosomal RNA is filed under the name uncultured bacterium. RNAcentral's name for it is "partial 16S ribosomal RNA". It matches the Rfam family "Bacterial small subunit ribosomal RNA", at positions 28 to 507 of the family's 1533-position model. The record is from RNAcentral.
GAUGAACGCUGGCGGCGUGCCUAAUACAUGCAAGGCGAGCGAACAGACGAGGAGCUUGCUCCUCUGACGUUAGCGGCGGACGGGUGAGUAACACGUGGAUAACCUACCUAUAAGACUGGGAUAACUUCGGGAAACCGGAGCUAAUACCGGAUAAUAUAUUGAACCGCAUGGUUCAAUAGUGAAAGACGGUUUUGCUGUCACUUAUAGAUGGAUCCGCGCCGCAUUAGCUAGUUGGUAAGGUAACGGCUUACCAAGGCGACGAUGCGUAGCCGACCUGAGAGGGUGAUCGGCCACACUGGAACUGAGACACGGUCCAGACUCCUACGGGAGGCAGCAGUAGGGAAUCUUCCGCAAUGGGCGAAAGCCUGACGGAGCAACGCCGCGUGAGUGAUGAAGGUCUUCGGAUCGUAAAACUCUGUUAUUAGGGAAGAACAAAUGUGUAAGUAACUAUGCACGUCUUGACGGUACCUAAUCAGAAAGCCACGGCUAACUACGUG